CCUCUUUGCAGCACCUCUCAUGCUCCAUCGGGUCAGAUGGGGAGCGUCUGUGCACAGCCAUUUUCAGAUCUCUCUAGAGAUGUUCAAUCAGAUUCAGGUCUGGGCUCUGCCUGGGCCAAUCAGUGACAUUCACGGAGUUGUCCUGGAGCCACUCCUUUGAUAUCUUGGCUGUGUGCUUAGCAGUGGCGGUUUUGCA
Molecule: long non-coding RNA, 196 nt
Organism: Thalassophryne amazonica
Lineage: Eukaryota; Metazoa; Chordata; Actinopteri; Batrachoidiformes; Batrachoididae
Exons: 3
Source: RefSeq, a predicted model, not a curated record